ACAGCUCAAAUUUGAAAUCUGGCGCUUUCAGCGUCCGAGUUGUAAUUUGCAGAGGGCGCUUUGGCGUUGGCAGCGGUCCAAGUUCCUUGGAACAGGUCGUCACAGAGGGUGAGAAUCCCGUACGUGGCCGCAUGUCUUCGCCGUGUAAAGCCCCUUCGACGAGUCGAGUUGUUUGGGAAUGCAGCUCUAAAUGGGAGGUAAAUUUCUUCUAAAGCUAAAUACUGGCCAGAGACCGAUA
RNAcentral lists this ribosomal RNA (238 nucleotides) under Cercospora zeae-maydis. RNAcentral's name for it is "partial large subunit ribosomal RNA". It matches the Rfam family "Eukaryotic large subunit ribosomal RNA", at positions 104 to 339 of the family's 3401-position model. The record is from RNAcentral. Lineage: Eukaryota; Fungi; Ascomycota; Dothideomycetes; Mycosphaerellales; Mycosphaerellaceae.